RNAcentral lists this ribosomal RNA (526 nucleotides) under Bacillus licheniformis. Its description in RNAcentral is "bacterial SSU rRNA". It matches the Rfam family "Bacterial small subunit ribosomal RNA", at positions 337 to 854 of the family's 1533-position model. Lineage: Bacteria; Bacillati; Bacillota; Bacilli; Caryophanales; Bacillaceae. The record is from RNAcentral.
GUUUCGGGGGGGAACCCCAAGGGAAUCUUCCGCAAUGGACGAAAGUCUGACGGAGCAACGCCGCGUGAGUGAUGAAGGUUUUCGGAUCGUAAAGCUCUGUUGUUAGGGAAGAACAAGUACCGUUCGAAUAGGGCGGUACCUUGACGGUACCUAACCAGAAAGCCACGGCUAACUACGUGCCAGCAGCCGCGGUAAUACGUAGGUGGCAAGCGUUGUCCGGAAUUAUUGGGCGUAAAGGGCUCGCAGGCGGUUUCUUAAGUCUGAUGUGAAAGCCCCCGGCUCAACCGGGGAGGGUCAUUGGAAACUGGGGAACUUGAGUGCAGAAGAGGAGAGUGGAAUUCCACGUGUAGCGGUGAAAUGCGUAGAGAUGUGGAGGAACACCAGUGGCGAAGGCGACUCUCUGGUCUGUAACUGACGCUGAGGAGCGAAAGCGUGGGGAGCGAACAGGAUUAGAUACCCUGGUAGUCCACGCCGUAAACGAUGAGUGCUAAGUGUUAGGGGGUUCCGCCCUCUUACGUAGCAUUGG